CAUAGGUUAAUGAGGCGAACCGGGGGAACUGAAACAUCUAAGUACCCCGAGGAAAAGAAAUCAACCGAGAUUCCCCCAGUAGCGGCGAGCGAACGGGGAGCAGCCCAGAGCCUGAAUCAGUGUGUGUGUUAGUGGAAGCGUCUGGAAAGGCGCGCGAUACAGGGUGACAGCCCCGUACACAAAAAUGCACAUACUGUGAGCUCGAUGAGUAGGGCGGGACACGUGGUAUCCUGUCUGAAUAUGGGGGGACCAUCCUCCAAGGCUAAAUACUCCUGACUGACCGAUAGUGAACCAGUACCGUGAGGGAAAGGCGAAAAGAACCCCGGCGAGGGGAGUGAAAAAGAACCUGAAACCGUGUACGUACAAGCAGUGGGAGCACGCUUAGGCGUGUGACUGCGUACCUUUUGUAUAAUGGGUCAGCGACUUAUAUUCUGUAGCAAGGUUAACCGAAUAGGGGAGCCGAAGGGAAACCGAGUCUUAACUGGGCGUUAAGUUGCAGGGUAUAGACCCGAAACCCGGUGAUCUAGCCAUGGGCAGGUUGAAGGUUGGGUAACACUAACUGGAGGACCGAACCGACUAAUGUUGAAAAAUUAGCGGAUGACUUGUGGCUGGGGGUGAAAGGCCAAUCAAACCGGGAGAUAGCUGGUUCUCCCCGAAAGCUAUUUAGGUAGCGCCUCGUGAAUUCAUCUCCGGG
This 694-nucleotide ribosomal RNA is filed under the name Escherichia coli. RNAcentral describes it as "partial 23S ribosomal RNA". It matches the Rfam family "Bacterial large subunit ribosomal RNA", at positions 165 to 900 of the family's 2925-position model. Lineage: Bacteria; Pseudomonadati; Pseudomonadota; Gammaproteobacteria; Enterobacterales; Enterobacteriaceae. The record is from RNAcentral.